UACGUAGGGGGCAAGCGUUGUCCGGAUUUAUUGGGCGUAAAGAGCUCGUAGGCGGUUUGUCGCGUCUGCUGUGAAAACUCGGGGCUAAACCCCGGGCCUGCAGUGGGUACGGGCAGACUAGAGUGCGGUAGGGGAGACUGGAAUUCCUGGUGUAGCGGUGAAAUGCGCAGAUAUCAGGAGGAACACCGGUGGCGAAGGCGGGUCUCUGGGCCGUAACUGACGCUGAGGAGCGAAAGCGUGGGGAGCGAACAGG
Molecule: ribosomal RNA, 253 nt
Filed under: uncultured bacterium
Lineage: Bacteria
Description: partial 16S ribosomal RNA
Rfam family: Bacterial small subunit ribosomal RNA
Source: RNAcentral